Zingiber officinale is the source of this 469-nucleotide long non-coding RNA. RefSeq lists it as uncharacterized. The transcript is spliced from 4 exons. NCBI's taxonomy places the organism in Eukaryota, Viridiplantae, Streptophyta, Magnoliopsida, Zingiberales, Zingiberaceae. The record is from RefSeq and is a predicted model, not a curated record.
GCUCGCCGGACCACCAGAAAAGAGGGGAAAACAAAGCCCUAGUAGCUGCCCUCUUUUCUAGCCAAGCACAGCAGCCACUGGAGCUAGCUGUGGCCUUCGCCGGAGCUCGCCAAGACAACCGGUGAAAAAGGGAAAAGCAGCCCUAGCUGCUGUCCUUUUCUUGGCAGCACCGCCGGAGUUCGCCAUAGCUCGCUGGAGCUAGCUGAAACGGCCAGCGACGAAGGGAAAACAACCCUAGUUGUUGUCAUCUUUUUUUCAGCAAUCAAAGUAACACGUAAAAGACACGAGCUCGAGUGGAGCGCGGUGACCUGCCGACACUCGAAGAUUUUACUGUAUAUAAAUUUUGCAGGUGCAGGGAUCCUUUUGAUAUUGUAGUUGAUUUUGGACUUCCAUAGAGUUGCUCAAAGAUCACGACGUGCUGAUUUUCUGAUUUGUUUUACUUUUGUUUCGUUGUAUUUACAAUCUGAAA